UUCCGGUUGAUCCUGCCGGAGGCUACCGCUAUUGGAGUUCGAUUAAGCCAUGCGAGUCCAGAGCUUUCGGAGCUCGGCGUACCGCUCAGUAACACGUGGGUAACCUAACCUAUGCAGGGGAAUAACCUCGGGAAACUGAGAAUAAUGCCCCAUAGUCCACUACGCCUGGAACGGUGAGUGGAUGAAAGCUCAGGCGGCAUAGGAUGGGCCUGCGGCGUAUCAGGUUGUAGGGGGUGUAAAGUACCCUCUAGCCCUCUACGCGUACGGGUGUUGGGAGACAUAGCCCGGAGAUGGAUUCUGAGACACGAAUCCAGACCCUACGGGGUGCAGCAGGCGCGAAAACUUCACACUGCAGGAAACUGUGAUGAGGGAACUCCAAGUGACUGCACAAUGUGUAGCCUUUUCUUGAAUUUUAAUAGUUCUUGGAAUAAGGGCUGGGAAAGACCGGUGCCAGCCGCCGCGGUAAUACCGGCAGCUCGAGUGGUCGUCGCUUUUAUUGGGCCUAAAACGUCCGUAGCCUGUUUGGUAAAUCUAUGGGUAAAUCAACGAGCUUAACUCGUUGAAUUCUGCAGAGACUGCCAGACUAGGGACCGGGAGAGGUAUGAGGUACUCUGGGGGUAGGGGUAAAAUCCUGUCAUCCUCAGAGGACCACCUGUUGCGAAGGCGUCAUACUGGAACGGAUCCGACGGUCAGGGACGAAGCCUAGGGGCACGAACCGGAUUAGAUACCCGGGUAGUCCUAGGUGUAAACGCUGUGGAUUUGGUGUGUGGGGUCCGCAAUGGGCCCCAUGUGCCGGAGUGAAGAUGUUAAAUCCACUGCCUGGGGAGUACGGUCGCAAGGCUGAAACUUAAAGGAAUUGGCGGGGGAGCACUGCAACGGGAGGAGCGUGCGGUUUAAUUGGAGUCAACGCCGG
RNAcentral lists this ribosomal RNA (913 nucleotides) under uncultured marine archaeon. RNAcentral describes it as "bacterial SSU rRNA". It matches the Rfam family "Archaeal small subunit ribosomal RNA", at positions 1 to 921 of the family's 1478-position model. The record is from RNAcentral.